CAGCAGCCACGGGAAUACGAAGGGUGCAAGCGUUACUCGGAAUUACUGGGUUUAAAGGGUCCGUAGGCGGUCUUGUAAGUCAGUGGUGAAAGCCCAUCGCUCAACGGUGGAACGGCCAUUGAUACUGCAGGACUUGAAUUAUUGGGAAGUAACUAGAAUAUGUAGUGUAGCGGUGAAAUGCUUAGAGAUUACAUGGAAUACCAAUUGCGAAGGCAGGUUACUACCAAUUGAUUGACGCUGAUGGACGAAAGCGUGGGUAGCGAACAGGAUUAGAUACCCGCGUAGUCCCUGUCUCUUAUAC
This 301-nucleotide ribosomal RNA is filed under the name uncultured bacterium. RNAcentral's name for it is "partial 16S ribosomal RNA". It matches the Rfam family "Bacterial small subunit ribosomal RNA", at positions 509 to 807 of the family's 1533-position model. The record is from RNAcentral.